RNAcentral lists this transfer RNA (71 nucleotides) under Podarcis lilfordi (Lilford's wall lizard). RNAcentral's name for it is "tRNA.Ala". It matches the Rfam family "tRNA". Rfam says of the family: Transfer RNA (tRNA) molecules are approximately 80 nucleotides in length. Their secondary structure includes four short double-helical elements and three loops (D, anti-codon, and T loops). Lineage: Eukaryota; Metazoa; Chordata; Lepidosauria; Squamata; Lacertidae. The record is from RNAcentral.
GGGCUGUAGCUCAGUGGUAGAAUAGCUGCUUUGCAUGCAGAAGGUUCCUGGUUCAAUCCCCGGCAGCAUCU